This 253-nucleotide ribosomal RNA is filed under the name uncultured bacterium. Its description in RNAcentral is "partial 16S ribosomal RNA". It matches the Rfam family "Bacterial small subunit ribosomal RNA", at positions 524 to 776 of the family's 1533-position model. The record is from RNAcentral.
UACGGAGGGUGCGAGCGUUAAUCGGAAUCACUGGGCGUAAAGGGCGCGUAGGCGGCGCAACAAGUCACUUGUGAAAUCUCCGGGCUUAACCCGGAGCGGCCAAGUGAUACUGUCGUGCUAGAGUGCGGAAGGGGCUACUGGAAUUCUCGGUGUAGCGGUGAAAUGCGUAGAUAUCGAGAGGAACACCUGCGGCGAAGGCGGGUAGCUGGGCCGACACUGACGCUGAGGCGCGAAAGCCAGGGGAGCGAACGGG